GUGGGAAAUAUGUCGAGAAAAAAAUCUCACAUUUUCUUUUUUUUAUAUUCUCAGGAUAUCCUGAGAUGCCUAAACUAAAUUAACACUUGUUGUGAACACAUUAGAUGCAGGGAAUGGGGAGAUUCAAGGGAAUCAUAUUGCUCUGCGCCUUGAAGAAGGCGACAGGAAUCACCCACACGAUGAAGUCAGCAGAGUGUUUGAUGCUCCUUCCUUGAGUCCCACCCUUCACCUCGGACACCGUUUUCUUUCUGAGUCUGCAGGUUAAGCCGCACCCCAGGGUGAAAAUGAACAUCAUUCCGAGACUCAGAGCAGGCGUCAGGGACAGAGAGGAGCCUCAAGAGGGCGCUGCUGCCUUCAGCUUGUGGUUUGACACAAAUGUCAUCUUUCCUUCCUUCGCACGUCUCUUUGUUCCAGCCUGUGGCCUGAUCUUGUAGGGCAGUUUACUCUGCUUAACACGUGAGUCAAGAUUUUGUAGAAGAUUCCGCCAAAGACUCAACAACAUAAAGAAAUAUACCUCUCGGUUUGGAUAUCUCUCAACAAAACCUUCUACUGCUUCUCAGCCAGCCAUGCUGUCUGCUUCCUGCUCAGGACUUGUGAUCUUGUUGAUAUUCAGAAGGACCAGUGGAGACUCGGUUACCCAGACAGAAGGCCCAGUUACCCUCCCUGAGAGGGCAGCUCUGACAUUAAACUGCACUUAUCAGUCCAGCUAUUCAACUUUUCUAUUCUGGUAUGUCCAGUAUCUAAACAAAGAGCCUGAGCUCCUCUUGAAAAGUUCAGAAAACCAGGAGACGGACAGCAGAGGUUUUCAGGCCAGUCCUAUCAAGAGUGACAGUUCCGUCCACCUGGAGAAGCCCGCGGUGCAGCUGUCGGACUCUGCCAUGUACUACUGCGCUCUGAGAGACAGAGUGGGAGGGACUGCAGCGAGAGCCCAGCACAAACCCUGGGGAACGCAGGAUCCAGCAUGGCUCAGAAGGUAACUCAAGCGCAGACUGAAAUUUCUGUGGUGGAGAAGGAGGAUGUGACCUUGGACUGUGUGUAUGAAACCCGUGAUACUACUUAUUACUUAUUCUGGUACAAGC
Pan troglodytes (chimpanzee) is the source of this 1079-nucleotide non-coding RNA. NCBI's taxonomy places the organism in Eukaryota, Metazoa, Chordata, Mammalia, Primates, Hominidae. The record is from the annotation of a RefSeq genome assembly.